Molecule: non-coding RNA, 390 nt
Organism: Camelina sativa (false flax)
Lineage: Eukaryota; Viridiplantae; Streptophyta; Magnoliopsida; Brassicales; Brassicaceae
Source: RefSeq, a predicted model, not a curated record
UACCUUACGUGAGACGACAUCUCCAAAAAAUUUCUCGAAAUCAUUCUUGAUUAUAUUUAAGUAGUACAGCUUUUUCUUAACUUCAGCCAAAUCUUCUGCAUCAUCUACUUCUACGUCAGAGUCAUCUACUUCUUCAUCAGAGUCUUCAGCGAGACUUAACGGUGGCAUAGUCUGUUCUAUGGGAAGCAUUGCACGGGUCAUUAGCUGGUUGUGAAUGACUUAUAUACUGAGUGGACUGCAGGUAGUUUUGGUAGAUACAGUGCUACGUAAAGAAGCUGGAGCAGACCCUUUUGAACCAAUCGGCAGCAAUAGGAGAACAUUGGUUGGAGAUUCUGUUGAAUCAGCAGAGAUUAACAGGUCAGUGUAUAGUCUAAAGAUUUAAUAUAUGGC